GACGAACGCUGGCGGCGUGCUUAACACAUGCAAGUCGAACGGAAAGGCCCUGCUUUCGGGGUACUCUCGUGUCGCAAGGGGGAGUAAAACGUGUGUGUUCCGCCCUGCACUUCUGGAUAAACCUGGGGGACUGUGUCUAAUAUCCCGGAUGAGCCAUUCUGCGGGUGAGUGUUGGAUGGAUUUUUCGGUGUAGGAUGAGCUCGCGGCCUAUCUGGUUGCUGGUGGGGUAAUGGCCUACCUAGGCGGUGACGGGUAGCCGGCCUGGGAGGGUGGACGGCCACAUUGGGGAUGGGAUGCGGGCCAGAAUCCUACGGGGGGCAGGAGUGGGGGAUAUUGCAACAUGGGGGGGAGCCUGAUGCAGCGAAGCCGCGUGGGGGAUGACGGGCUUCGGGUUGUAAAACCCUUUCGCCAGGGAAGAAGCCUUGUGUGACGGUACUUAGUAAAGAAGCACCGGCUAACUACGUG
This 465-nucleotide ribosomal RNA is filed under the name uncultured bacterium. Its description in RNAcentral is "partial 16S ribosomal RNA". It matches the Rfam family "Bacterial small subunit ribosomal RNA", at positions 28 to 507 of the family's 1533-position model. The record is from RNAcentral.